AUGUUGCUAUCCAAAUAUGCAAGUCAAGCGGCCGGUUCUAGCUCUAAUCGGCCAUCACAUUCAAAGCGUUCAAGAUUGCCUCCAGAGCAAGAGUUUCGACAAUAUGCAAGGCCAUAUGGGUCAUGGGCACCGACACCAUUGAUGUCACAACCCUCCUAUGCGCCAUAUUACAUGAGAGGCUUCAGUGGAGGAUGGGGGCAGCCCCCAAUGGCUCCUUAUGCUUUCCCUAUGGGGUGGGCAGCACCUAGAAGGCCUGCUCGCGAGAGGCUUUAUUGUCCCACACAAGGCCGUUUGAGCUAUGGUGCUAAUCGGCCAACAAAAAUUUCUCCAAGUAAGGCCAAUAAAAAAGUGUGGCGUGUUAAGUCAUCUAAUGCGGAAAUUUCAGAAUGCGACAAGCAAAAGGAGAUCGAAAAGCCAGCUGUUGGUAAUCUGGCUACUUCUAAUGGUGAUAUUGUUAUUGUUCAGCAGGGUUCCAUGGUUAGUGAUCAUGAGGCGAGCACAAGCAAGGCCAAACCAAGGGAUCCCAAAUAUACUCAACCUGAGUGGUGUCCUCCCGGUUUAACCAAGACCAUGAAAAGGAUAUUACAACGCAUGAGGAACCACGAGAAGGUAGAGCACAGAGAGGAGAGGCAAAGGGACGAAUUGUUAAGUGAAAUUCGGCCCAUGGCACUCACAAAACAAGUGUGGAGGCCUAAACAAAAAGAAAACGCAGAUACUACAUUAGCUACAGCAACACAUUCACCACCAAAAGAGGAUGAUGCAACCCCUAUUACAUCGUCCACACCACCUGAAACAUCCCCUUCAAUUGAGGAAAUUUUAAGCCCAAUAUACACAUUGGGAGAUGAAGAUGAAAUGGUGGAUUACAAAUCUACGCCGGUUCGGGAAGGUAUGGAUAUUAAUAUGGUGUAUUACUUACUUGCCGAGUUUCGUGCUAUAGGUGAAGAAGGGGAGGUAGCCCAACUGGAUUUUGGUCCUAAGAACGCUAUCUUCGAGAAGCCAAAAGAACCGGUGAAACACUUGAAGCCAUUGUACCUCAAAGGUCAUAUUAACGGAUCGCCAGUUGCUAGGAUGCUCGUUGAUGGUGGUGCUGUGGUAAAUCUUAUGCCCUAG
This 1110-nucleotide ribosomal RNA is filed under the name Triticum aestivum (bread wheat). RNAcentral's name for it is "partial small subunit ribosomal RNA". The record is from RNAcentral. Lineage: Eukaryota; Viridiplantae; Streptophyta; Magnoliopsida; Poales; Poaceae.